CUUAAGGCCCACUCUGAACUCCCCAGAGAUUGGUCAGGAGCCUGGGUUCUAGGAACCUUCCUUCUUCUUGCUUCCCCUAAGGGAGGGCGAGAUCCUUGGUGUAGGAAUAGCUCUUAAGGCAGCAAAGGACACGGACGAUAGGUCAAUGGAAGGAUAAUGAGUGGCCCCCUGAACUAAUAAAUGAUUAUAAUGAUCCUGCUACAUGGGCUGAGGAUGGGACUUAUGAUGUUGAAUCGAAUAAUCGGGUUACAAGCUGUAGUUGAAAUUGUGACCAACAAAGCUUUUGGACAAACAGAAUACCAGAAUGUGGACUGCUAUCUAUCAGAAC
Pelobates cultripes (western spadefoot toad) is the source of this 328-nucleotide non-coding RNA. The record is from the annotation of a GenBank genome assembly. NCBI's taxonomy places the organism in Eukaryota, Metazoa, Chordata, Amphibia, Anura, Pelobatidae.